RNAcentral lists this ribosomal RNA (441 nucleotides) under uncultured bacterium. Its description in RNAcentral is "bacterial SSU rRNA". It matches the Rfam family "Bacterial small subunit ribosomal RNA", at positions 958 to 1398 of the family's 1533-position model. The record is from RNAcentral.
AACGCGAAGAACCUUACCAGGGCUUGACAUGGGGCCGUCGCGUCCAGAGAUGGGCGUUCCCGCAAGGGCGGCCUGCACAGGUGCUGCAUGGCUGUCGUCAGCUCGUGUCGUGAGAUGUUGGGUUAAGUCCCGCAACGAGCGCAACCCUCGCCUUUAGUUGCCAUCAGGUUUGGCUGGGCACUCUAAAGGAACUGCCGGUGACAAGCCGGAGGAAGGUGGGGAUGACGUCAAGUCCUCAUGGCCCUUAUGUCCAGGGCUACACACGUGCUACAAUGGACGGUACAAAGGGCUGCCAACCCGCGAGGGGGAGCCAAUCCCAAAAAACCGUUCUCAGUUCGGAUUGCAGGCUGCAACUCGCCUGCAUGAAGCUGGAAUCGCUAGUAAUGGCGGAUCAGAACGCCGCCGUGAAUACGUUCCCGGGCCUUGUACACACCGCGCAUA